GGGGAAUAUUGGGCAAUGGGGGAAACCCUGACCCAGCGACGUCGCGUGAGGGAAGAAGGUCUUCGGAUUGUAAACCUUUGUCAACAGGGAAGAAGCAAGUGACGGUACCUGAAGAGGAAGCCACGGCUAACUACGUGCCAGCAGCCGCGGUAAUACGUAGGUGGCGAGCGUUAUCCGGAAUUACUGGGUGUAAAGGGUGUGUAGGCGGGGAUGCAAGUCAGAUGUGAAAUCCAUGGGCUCAACCUAUGGUGUGCAUUUGAAACUGCGUUUCUUGAGUGUGGGAGAGGUAAGCGGAAUUCCUAGUGUAGCGGUGAAAUGCGUAGAUAUUAGGAGGAACACCAGUGGCGAAGGCGGCUUACUGGACCACAACUGACGCUGAGACACGAAAGCGUGGGGAGCAAAC
Molecule: ribosomal RNA, 403 nt
Filed under: uncultured bacterium
Lineage: Bacteria
Description: bacterial SSU rRNA
Rfam family: Bacterial small subunit ribosomal RNA
Source: RNAcentral